CACAGCCGCGGUAAUGAAGGAAGGGAGCGAAGCGUUAAUCGGAAUUACUGGGCGUAAAGCGUUCGCAGGCGGUUAAGUAAGGCAGAUGUGAAAUCCCCGGGCUCAACCUGGGAACUGCAUUUGGAACUGCAUAACUGGAGUGCGGCAGAGGGGGGUGGAAUUCCAGGUGUAGCAGUGAAUAUGCGUAGAUAUGCGGAGGAACACCGAUGGCGAAGGCAAUCCCCUGGGCCAGCACUGACGCU
This 242-nucleotide ribosomal RNA is filed under the name bacterium ER-Se-20. RNAcentral describes it as "partial 16S ribosomal RNA". It matches the Rfam family "Bacterial small subunit ribosomal RNA", at positions 510 to 747 of the family's 1533-position model. The record is from RNAcentral.